AUUGAACGCUGGCGGCAUGCCUUACACAUGCAAGUCGAACGGCAGCACGGGUGCUUGCACCUGGUGGCGAGUGGCGAACGGGUGAGUAAUACAUCGGAACAUGUCCUGUAGUGGGGGAUAGCCCGGCGAAAGCCGGAUUAAUACCGCAUACGAACUACGGAUGAAAGCGGGGGCCCUUCGGGCCUCGCGCUAUAGGGUUGGCCGAUGGCUGAUUAGCUAGUUGGUGGGGUAAAGGCCUACCAAGGCGACGAUCAGUAGCUGGUCUGAGAGGACGACCAGCCACACUGGGACUGAGACACGGCCCAGACUCCUACGGGAGGCAGCAGUGGGGAAUUUUGGACAAUGGGCGAAAGCCUGAUCCAGCAAUGCCGCGUGUGUGAAGAGGGCCUUCGGGUUGUAAAGCACUUUUGUCCGGAAAGAAAUCCUUGGCCCUAAUACGGUCGGGGGAUGACGGUACCGGAAGAAUAAGCACCGGCUAACUACGUG
This 486-nucleotide ribosomal RNA is filed under the name uncultured bacterium. RNAcentral's name for it is "partial 16S ribosomal RNA". It matches the Rfam family "Bacterial small subunit ribosomal RNA", at positions 30 to 507 of the family's 1533-position model. The record is from RNAcentral.